CUUGCCCCUAAAGGCUUUAUAAGUGUGGCUGCUGUGACACGUGUGAGUCAGUAGGUAGCAGAAAGGAGAGAGGCUGUGUCUAAGCCCAGUGUUCUGACCUGUGAAUAUCUGACUGAUUAAUAGCCUAACAUU
Acomys russatus (golden spiny mouse) is the source of this 132-nucleotide small nucleolar RNA. RefSeq annotates it as small nucleolar RNA SNORA17. The transcript has a single exon. Lineage: Eukaryota; Metazoa; Chordata; Mammalia; Rodentia; Muridae. The record is from RefSeq and is a predicted model, not a curated record.